CGAAAGCUAUUUAGGUAGCGCCUCGUGAAUUCAUCUCCGGGGGUAGAGCACUGUUUCGGCAAGGGGGUCAUCCCGACUUACCAACCCGAUGCAAACUGCGAAUACCGGAGAAUGUUAUCACGGGAGACACACGGCGGGUGCUAACGUCCGUCGUGAAGAGGGAAACAACCCAGACCGCCAGCUAAGGUCCCAAAGUCAUGGUUAAGUGGGAAACGAUGUGGGAAGGCCCAGACAGCCAGGAUGUUGGCUUAGAAGCAGCCAUCAUUUAAAGAAAGCGUAAUAGCUCACUGGUCGAGUCGGCCUGCGCGGAAGAUGUAACGGGGCUAAACCAUGCACCGAAGCUGCGGCAGCGACACUAUGUGUUGUUGGGUAGGGGAGCGUUCUGUAAGCCUGUGAAGGUGGCCUGUGAGGGUUGCUGGAGGUAUCAGAAGUGCGAAUGCUGACAUAAGUAACGAUAAAGCGGGUGAAAAGCCCGCUCGCCGGAAGACCAAGGGUUCCUGUCCAACGUUAAUCGGGGCAGGGUGAGUCGACCCCUAAGGCGAGGCCGAAAGGCGUAGUCGAUGGGAAACAGGUUAAUAUUCCUGUACUUGGUGUUACUGCGAAGGGGGGACGGAGAAGGCUAUGUUGGCCGGGCGACGGUUGUCCCGGUUUAAGCGUGUAGGCUGGUUUUCCAGGCAAAUCCGGAAAAUCAAGGCUGAGGCGUGAUGACGAGGCACUACGGUGCUGAAGCGACAAAUGCCCUGCUUCCAGGAAAAG
This 756-nucleotide ribosomal RNA is filed under the name Escherichia coli. RNAcentral's name for it is "partial 23S ribosomal RNA". It matches the Rfam family "Bacterial large subunit ribosomal RNA", at positions 860 to 1617 of the family's 2925-position model. The record is from RNAcentral. Lineage: Bacteria; Pseudomonadati; Pseudomonadota; Gammaproteobacteria; Enterobacterales; Enterobacteriaceae.